AGUGAACGCUGGCGGUAGGCCUAACACAUGCAAGUCGAACGGCAGCACAGUAAGAGCUUGCUCUUACGGGUGGCGAGUGGCGGACGGGUGAGGAAUACAUCGGAAUCUACUUUUUCGUGGGGGAUAACGUAGGGAAACUUACGCUAAUACCGCAUACGACCUACGGGUGAAAGCAGGGGAUCUUCGGACCUUGCGCGAUUGAAUGAGCCGAUGUCGGAUUAGCUAGUUGGCGGGGUAAAGGCCCACCAAGGCGACGAUCCGUAGCUGGUCUGAGAGGAUGAUCAGCCACACUGGAACUGAGACACGGUCCAGAGUCCUACGGGAGGAAGCAGUGGGGAAUAUUGGACAAGGGGCGCAAGCCUGAUCCAGCCAUACCGCGUGGGUGAAGAAGGCCUUCGGGUUGUAAAGCCCUUUUGUUGGGAAAGAAAAGCAGCAGGUUAAUACCCCGCUGUUCUGACGGUACCCAAAGAAUAAGCACCGGCUAACUUCGUG
Molecule: ribosomal RNA, 492 nt
Filed under: uncultured bacterium
Lineage: Bacteria
Description: partial 16S ribosomal RNA
Rfam family: Bacterial small subunit ribosomal RNA
Source: RNAcentral